RNAcentral lists this ribosomal RNA (460 nucleotides) under uncultured bacterium. Its description in RNAcentral is "partial 16S ribosomal RNA". It matches the Rfam family "Bacterial small subunit ribosomal RNA", at positions 338 to 795 of the family's 1533-position model. The record is from RNAcentral.
CCUACGGGAGGCAGCAGUGAGGAAUAUUGGUCAAUGGACGAGAGUCUGAACCAGCCAAGUCGCGUGAGGGAGGAAGGCCCUAUGGAUUGUAAACCUCUUUUGUAUGGGAAUAAAACAGGGGAUGCGUACCCGCAUGUGUGUACCAGAUGAAUAAGGAUCGGCUAACUCCGUGCCGGCAGCCGCGGUAAUACGGAGGAUGCGAGCGUUAUCCGGAUUUAUUGGGUUUAAAGGGCGCGGAGGUGGAUUGUUAAGUCAGGUGUGAAAGUCUGGGGCUCAACCGUGAAACUGCCGUUGAAACUGGCAGUCUUGAGUACAGGAGAGGUAGGCGGAAUUCGUGGUGUAGCGGUGAAAUGCUUAGAUAUCACGAAGAACUCCGAUUGCGAAGGCAGCUCGCUGGACUGCAACUGACGCUGAGGCUCGAAAGUGUGGGUAUCAAACAGGAUUAGAUACCCGAGUAGUC